Molecule: ribosomal RNA, 273 nt
Filed under: uncultured bacterium
Lineage: Bacteria
Description: partial 16S ribosomal RNA
Rfam family: Bacterial small subunit ribosomal RNA
Source: RNAcentral
UACGAAGGGUGCAAGCGUUAAUCGGAAUUACUGGGCGUAAAGGGUGCGUAGGCGGUUGCCUAAGUCCGUUGUGAAAGCCCUGGGCUCAACCUGGGAAUGGCAGUGGAUACUGGGUGACUGGAGUACGGUAGAGGAUGGCGGAAUUCCCGGUGUAGCAGUGAAAUGCGUAGAGAUCGGGAGGAACAUCAGUGGCGAAGGCGGCCAUCUGGACCAGUACUGACGCUGAGGCACGAAAGCGUGGGGAGCAAACAGGAUUAGAUACCCCCGUAGUCC